Molecule: ribosomal RNA, 253 nt
Filed under: uncultured bacterium
Lineage: Bacteria
Description: partial 16S ribosomal RNA
Rfam family: Bacterial small subunit ribosomal RNA
Source: RNAcentral
UACGAAAGGUGCAAGCGUUAAUCGGAAUUACUGGGCGUAAAGCGCGCGUAGGCGGCUUUUUAAGUCGGAUGUGAAAGCCCCGGGCUCAACCUGGGAACUGCACCCGAUACUGGCCGACUUGAGUGCGGGAGAGGGAGGUAGAAUUCCAUGUGUAGCGGUGAAAUGCGUAGAUAUAUGGAGGAAUACCAGUGGCGAAGGCGGCCUCCUGGCUCGACACUGACACUGAGGUGCGAAAGCGUGGGGAGCAAACAGG